GUUUUUAGCUCAGAUCUAGGAAGUCACUGUGCUGAGACCAUGCAACAGCCUGUGUACAAUUCAGAGAUGAAAUACAAUUUCUGCUUCCCUCCCGUGUCCAAAAAUAUUUUGCCCUGGAAAGUCCUGCUGGGGUGACUCAUCUGUAUCAAAGAAUGCAAGAGCAAUUUGGUUGCGGUGCCCACAGGUUUUUUUUCCUCAAGUGUGUGUCAUAUGAUUUUUGUCCUUGAAAUUUGUGGAAAGAAAAGAUUGCUGACCUGGUUCACAUCAUGUGAAUGUCUCAGUAUCCUGUUGCCCAUGACUCAGAAGCAGACUUUUUGCUGAGGACGAGCUACUAGCAAUCAAAUGUACUUAGCUGUCAGAUGAACCAAGGUCUCUUCCAAGAGUGAGCCCAGUCUACAGAGGCAAACAGAUUCUCAAAGGACCAUGUAAAGGUGUACAAAUUUCUGUACGGAUUCUGAAAUGGGGACUUAAGGUGGAUCCACAUUAAAAGCUCACUGUGAACAUCAGAGUGGGGAAGCUACCUGAAGCAGAAGUUAUUCUGUAAAAUGAUGCUGCUCCCCUUCUCAUACCACCAAGCAAAGGAUCCAAGACUUUGCUAAACUUUUUUAAAAAGUUGAAGUUACCUGUUACUGUUCGGGGGGCUUUACCUUGGCAACAGUCUCACCCAGCCUCUGUGGUACCUUGCAACCUGAUCACAAGGAGGCACUCCCUCCUCUGAAGACCAAAAGUGUUUAAAUGUUCCCACUAAAAUGAAAGGAAGUUAAUUCAUCUUCACCUUUCUCCAUCUGGACUCGUAUGCUGUGCUGCACUUUCCAUGUUGGAAAUAAUAGGACCACAUUUUAACAGUAUGGUUUUAGGCAUAUGUGAAAACCAUGGGCAACUCUCCAAGUACUUGGAAUAUUUCAGUGACAGAGCGCUUGCUUAGACAGACAGUUAAACAGAUUUCAAAAGCAAGGCCUCCAAGAUGUGUCUUUUAUAAUGCGUUGCUGCUUUUUAACAGCUUGUUGGUGAUGGAUUUUUAAACCUGAAGCAUAUGAAUAAUGCAAAUAAGAAAAUGUUGCACAGUAAUAUUGAUUCAGGAACACUUUAUAUGCUCAUUAGCUGUGUACAUUAUAAUUGAACUCUUACAUGUGACAGCCACAGGAAUGCCAAAUGAAUAUAUUAUGAUAAACACUGUUACAAUGAAUACCAAAUGAAUUUUUUGUGACUGUACACUUCCCAUUUCCCCGUUGAUUCCAUGGCAUGCAAAGUUUUGGUUCUUUUUAAAAAUAGGAUUUGAAGCGGUGAUAUGAGAGGCUUAUUGUAUUGUUACGUAGAACAUGCUUAGCUGAUGCUAAGUCAUUUUCCUAGGCUCCAUGACAGUUUUGUUGACUGUUUGAAACAAGCACUAGGUAAAGAAACUAUUUUCCUAGAAAAUGAAAAUGAAUGAAGGAUUAUUCACUUGCACCCCUUGUCAGAUUCACUCAGCUGUGAUCCAUGGAUACUAGCCAGCCAUCACAAGGAAAGGGAAAUGGGGAAGACUGCUAAAGCAAUGUCAUUUUUCAUUUUGCAAACCAUGGCUCUGGACUGAUGGAAAAAUAGAAUUAAAAAGUUUUAUUGUUGUCAUGGUUGGAUUAAACACUACUUGAAUAAACAAACAAAAUAUUCACACUUUAAACACAAGCUUUGUUCUUUAUUCAAGUGAGCAAUGCUUCCACCAGGUUUCUUAGCCUUCAGGCACUAUUUAUCUGCAGGAAGCAGUUGUCAUUAAUGGUACCUUGCAUGCAUAGUAAUUUAUUUUAUAAAUGGCCCUACAGAAAUGAACGGACCUACGUGGGGAAGUGUUUACCCAUGACUGAAGAGUUCAGUAACUAUGCCUCUGCUGAAACACCAUCCCAUCUCACAGAAACCCUUUGGUGCAAAGGGUAAAAACUCUUCAUAGACUUUGGAUGUUUUUCUAUAAAACUAAAAUCAAAUCUACUGUGCUUCUGGAGGACAGAAAGGGCCUGAAGGAUAUAAGGUGGGGCAGUUAACACAUGGACACACUUAUGUAAAGUAAUUUUUAUUGUGCUUCCAUGAGCUACACCAUAUGUCCUGUGAGUCACAUGCCUGUGGACUAGUUGAUCUCCUCUGACAUGGGUUGUAUGAACUUCAGGUAGAAGAACAGAGGUUUGCUCCUGAGUUCAGUAGCACCAAGCUGUCACUCCUUCUCUUUUAUUUCUCUUGGAAUUCAAUCUCUAAAUUGGCGUAAAAGUUUAUAGUGUUUGUCUGUUUACAUUUAUUGCAAGAGACUAUAAAAAUAAAAUUAUGGGCAAGAAUAAGCAGGUUGCUAGCGAGGUAUUCAGUGAGAAACUGCUGUAAAUUAGGAAGAAAGUCAUGUUCCAUAAAUAACUGACUAACUGCAGGGAACAACAAUGCAACGUCUCAUGGCAGAAGCAGAAAUGUGUACUGGUAAUGAGAGAGGAAACAACUACUGGGGUUCUCAGCCAAAAGGAAUGAAAGGUCAGACCUGUCCACUCCUGUGCAUUCUCCUUUCCUUCUCUGCUUUUCCCUUACCCCUGCAGACUCGCUCAGGGGUUGUCCUGAGGUACAAAACACUAAGGUGGGUUGGAAUGAAGGCAAUUUUUACCCACAGAUGUUUUGACAGUGGGUGAAUUUUAACCCCAAAUGAAAGCAAAUACUUUGUGUUUCAGCCUCUGUGGCUUUCAAAGUGUAACAUUUCUCUUUUUGCCCUCACUUCCCUUGAUAUGAUACCUUGAAUUGCAUCUCCAGCGUGAUAUUACUUUGAUAGCUUUUCUGCUUUUCUCAUUCCCCUAUCAUAUUAAACUCUCUCCCUGAGAGUUUUUCCAUCAUCCAAAAUACUAAUUUUCUGAUGUUUUCUUUCUAUGGCCAAUGAAAGCUAUUUAAGUCUUAUUUUCUCAGAAACCUGAGGAACUUAGGUUCCUUCAAAUAAAGUUUGAAAGAAGUUCAUCCAAACAGGAAUGUUCAUAACAUGGAUGGGUCUGAGUGAGUCUGGAUCACAGGAAUUCAAUGAGUAGACCCAGAUCAGGAGGUACUGUUGGUACUAUUUGAUGGUUGGAUUUGAUGAUCUUGGAGGUCGUUUCCAAUCUUAAUGCUUCUGUGAUUCAUGUGAUCCGAUUUACACAGAAGAAAAUCAUAGUGUCAUUUAACUUCCAUCAAAUAACGUGUGUUGACUGCAGAUUGAGGGUUUUUUACAUACAGCACACAAGGAAUUAGUCUGAGCAAGCUGCAGUCUGAACAGCAACACUGAGACAGAGAGGUGGACAGACCUUACAGAGCUGUCUUACAAAGGUGAGGACUUGAGGUGCAAACACUCUGCAUAACAUCACCAAAACUGCCACUGAACCAAAUCUUGCCCUUCCCUGACACAUUGUCUGGUUUCUAAUGCCUAAAAUCACCGCUCCUCUCUUACGCCAACUCCAGACAUUUUCCUAACACAGUUUAAUUUAAUCUCUGCUCUACACUGCAGUGUUUGGGACUCUGCAAUUAUGGGUGGGCCCUAGGGUAUGUGAAAGGUGCAUAGCCUUGGUAAAUUUGGAAAGAGCAACAUUUAUUUAUAUACACACCAGCAAGUGCUUGUAAACUUCCCCUGCAGAGUUAUUUUCGUCUGCUAGCACAAAUUUGUUCAGCUGUGGAGAGAUAUUUUGGUGAGCUGAGAGGAGGAUGCUUUUCUGGGAUGGAGCAACACAGGCACAGAUCAGUGGGCUUCACACUUUGAGGGCUUCUAGGGACAGGUGACUGCCCAAUAUCAGCAGGGCUCCUCUCUCAUGUCUGGAUCUGGGGCUGCUGCUCAGUGAAUGCCAGCAGUGCAGCCCUUAGAGAAGCACAGCAGGUCAAAGAUUGGUGUUUUAUUUUCUGUUUUGGUUUUGUUUUGAUCAAGGGAUGCAGCGAUUAAAGGAUCAGCAGAACUACCCUGAAGUUUCAUGGUUUUAUAUUGCACUCACUUCCCCAGACAGCAUGCCCAUGCCUUUACAGGGGCCUGUAAACACUAACAGAGCUGUUAGGGUUAUUUUCCACUUUUCUUCUGUGCCAUGUGCUCUUACUGUGCUCUUUAACUUUCUAAAGUUAUUUAAAAUACCAUUUUUUAAAAUACUUUUGGUUUGGACAUCUUCUUAGGUCUCCAUUAAUAAUAUCAAUUUAAUCUCCAUUAAUCCUUUUCAUAUUUUAGGUUUUCCUCUUAAAAGGUGAUUGUUUUUCACUCUGUGGUGAACCUGUAUGCCUCCAGGCAAACACAAAGAAAUCUAAAUAAACCAGCCAGACAAGUCUGGAGUAUUCUUUGUUUCAUCGAAUUGUGCUAUUGGUUUGCUGAUUUAUUUUUUUCCAAGAAAUAAGUAACCAGCCCUGCUAUCAUGAUUUGCAAUAUUGAUGCAGAUAUUAGCAACCCUAUUAAUCUCUAAAUUUCAUGCUAUCACUUUUCCUGUUAGUGUACAUAGAAGGAACUUAAUAUUAAUUUUCACACUUUUACUACGUCGUAUAGAAAUUUUGAGAGAUUUUAACUUAGAAUGUACAAUAAUACCUGCUUAAACCUGUAAAUAAAUGUUUGUGAAAUCU
Molecule: long non-coding RNA, 4551 nt
Organism: Pseudopipra pipra
Lineage: Eukaryota; Metazoa; Chordata; Aves; Passeriformes; Pipridae
Exons: 4
Source: RefSeq, a predicted model, not a curated record